This 774-nucleotide ribosomal RNA is filed under the name uncultured bacterium. RNAcentral's name for it is "bacterial SSU rRNA". It matches the Rfam family "Bacterial small subunit ribosomal RNA", at positions 8 to 796 of the family's 1533-position model. The record is from RNAcentral.
AGAGUUUGAUCCUGGCUCAGGACGAACGCUGGCGGCGUGCUUAACACAUGCAAGUCGAACGCUGAUCCAUCUUCGGGUGGUGAUGAGUGGCGAACGGGUGAGUAACACGUGGGCAACCUGCCCCCGGCUCUGGGAUAACUCCAAGAAAUUGGGGCUAAUACCGGAUGUUCACUGCUUCCCGCAUGGGUGGUGGUGGAAAGGGUUUCCGGCUGGGGAUGGGCCCGCGGCCUAUCAGCUUGUUGGUGGGGUAGUGGCCUACCAAGGCGACGACGGGUAGCCGGCCUGAGAGGGUGACCGGCCACACUGGGACUGAGACACGGCCCAGACUCCUACGGGAGGCAGCAGUGGGGAAUAUUGCGCAAUGGGCGGAAGCCUGACGCAGCGACGCCGCGUGGGGGAUGACGGCCUUCGGGUUGUAAACCUCUUUCAGCAGGGACGAAGCGCAAGUGACGGUACCUGCAGAAGAAGCACCGGCCAACUACGUGCCAGCAGCCGCGGUAAUACGUAGGGUGCAAGCGUUGUCCGGAAUUAUUGGGCGUAAAGAGCUCGUAGGCGGUUCGUCGCGUCGGCCGUGAAAACCUGAGGCUCAACCUCAGGCCUGCAGUCGAUACGGGCGGACUUGAGUUCGGCAGGGGAGACUGGAAUUCCUGGUGUAGCGGUGAAAUGCGCAGAUAUCAGGAGGAACACCGGUGGCGAAGGCGGGUCUCUGGGCCGAUACUGACGCUGAGGAGCGAAAGCGUGGGGAGCGAACAGGAUUAGAUACCCUAGUAGUCC